UACAGAGGGUGCAAGCGUUGUUCGGAAUUAUUGGGCGUAAAGCGUGUGUAGGCGGCUUUGCAAGUCGGGUGUGAAAGCCCUCAACUCAACUGAGGAAGUGCGCCCGAAACUGCAGAGCUUGAGUGCCGGAGAGGGUGGCGGAAUUCCCCAAGUAGAGGUGAAAUUCGUAGAUAUGGGGAGGAACACCGGUGGCGAAGGCGGCCACAUGGACGAUAACUGACGCUGAGACGCGAAAGCGUGGGGAGCAAACAGG
Molecule: ribosomal RNA, 253 nt
Filed under: uncultured bacterium
Lineage: Bacteria
Description: partial 16S ribosomal RNA
Rfam family: Bacterial small subunit ribosomal RNA
Source: RNAcentral